RNAcentral lists this transfer RNA (75 nucleotides) under Minisyncoccota bacterium. Its description in RNAcentral is "tRNA-Asp". It matches the Rfam family "tRNA". From Rfam's summary of the family: Transfer RNA (tRNA) molecules are approximately 80 nucleotides in length. Their secondary structure includes four short double-helical elements and three loops (D, anti-codon, and T loops). The record is from RNAcentral. Lineage: Bacteria; Bacillati; Minisyncoccota.
GGUUCCUUAGUUAAAUGGUUAUAAUGCUGGCUUGUCAAGCCAGAGUUAAGAGUUCGAUUCUCUUAGGAACCGCCA